This 21-nucleotide microRNA is filed under the name Rattus norvegicus (Norway rat). Its description in RNAcentral is "rno-miR-672-3p". Its record names the gene rno-miR-672-3p. Lineage: Eukaryota; Metazoa; Chordata; Mammalia; Rodentia; Muridae. The record is from miRBase by way of RNAcentral.
ACACACAGUCGCCAUCUUCGA